AACGAACGCUGGCGGCAGGCUUAACACAUGCAAGUCGAACGCGUGCAGCAAUGCACGAGUGGCGCACGGGUGAGUAACGAGUGGAUAUCUGCCUUUUGGUUCGGAAUAACCCCGGGAAACUGGGGCUAAUACCGGAUGGUUCCUACGGGAUAAAGAUUUAUCGCCAAAAGAUGAGUCCGCUUCCGAUUAGCUAGUUGGUGAGGUAAUGGCUCACCAAGGCGACGAUCGGUAGCUGGUCUGAGAGGACGAUCAGCCACACUGGGACUGAGACACGGCCCAGACUCCUACGGGAGGCAGCAGUGGGGAAUAUUGGACAAUGGGGGCAACCCUGAUCCAGCCAUGCCGCGUGAGUGAUGAAGGCCUUCGGGUUGUAAAGCUCUUUUGGCGGGGACGAUGAUGACGGUACCCGCAGAAUAAGCCCCGGCUAACUUCGUG
Molecule: ribosomal RNA, 435 nt
Filed under: uncultured bacterium
Lineage: Bacteria
Description: partial 16S ribosomal RNA
Rfam family: Bacterial small subunit ribosomal RNA
Source: RNAcentral